RNAcentral lists this ribosomal RNA (743 nucleotides) under uncultured soil bacterium. RNAcentral's name for it is "bacterial SSU rRNA". It matches the Rfam family "Bacterial small subunit ribosomal RNA", at positions 8 to 796 of the family's 1533-position model. The record is from RNAcentral.
AGAGUUUGAUCAUGGCUCAGGAUGAACGCUGGCGGUCUGCUUAACACAUGCAAGUCGAACGGAACUUUUCGGAGUUCAGUGGCGGACGGGUGAGUAACGCGUGAGAAUCUGCCUUCUGGUCGGGGACAACCACUGGAAACGGUGGCUAAUACCGGAUGAGCCUACGGGUAAAAGAUUUAUUGCCAGAAGAGGAGCUCGCGUCUGAUUAGCUAGUUGGUGAGGUAAAGGCUCACCAAGGCAUCGAUCAGUAGCUGGUCUGAGAGGAUGACCAGCCACACUGGGACUGAGACACUGCCCAGACUCCUACGGGGGGCUGCAGUAACGAAUCUUCCGCAAUGCACGCAAGUGUGACGGAGCGACGCCGCGUGUGGGACGAAGUUCUUCGGAAUGUAAACCACUGUCAGGGGCCACCAAGUUCUGAGGGGCCCCAGAGGAAGGCACGGCUAACUCUGUGCCAGCAGCCGCGGUAAUACAGAGGUGCCGAGCGUUAGGCGGAAUCACUGGGCUUAAAGCGUGUGUAGGCGGACCGGUAAGUGCCUUGUGAAAUCCUGCGGCUCAACCGCAGAACGGCUGGGCAUACUGUCGGUCUUGAGCAGCUUAGGGGCAGACGGAACAAGUGGUGGAGCGGUGAAAUGCGUAGAUAUCACUUGGAACGCCGACGGUGAAAACAGUCUGCUGGGAGCUUGCUGACGCUGAGACACGAAAGCCAGGGGAGCGAACGGGAUUAGAUACCCCAGUAGUCC